UGGGGAAUAUUGGACAAUGGGCGAAAGCCUGAUCCAGCCAUGCCGCGUGAGUGACGAAGGCCUUAGGGUUGUAAAACUCUUUCGUCGGGGACGAUAAUGACGGUACCCGAAGAAGAAGCUCCGGCUAACUUCGUGCCAGCAGCCGCGGUAAUACGAAGGGAGCUAGCGUUGUUCGGAAUCACUGGGCGUAAAGCGCACGUAGGCGGAUAGUUAAGUCAGGGGUGAAAUCCUGGGGCUCAACCCCAGAACUGCCUUUGAUACUGAUAGUCUUGAGAUCGGGAGAGGUGAGUGGAAUUCCUAGUGUAGAGGUGAAAUUCGUAGAUAUUAGGAAGAACACCAGUGGCGAAGGCGGCUCACUGGCCCGAUACUGACGCUGAGGUGCGAAAGCGUGGGGAGCAAACAGGAUUAGAUACCCGUAGUAGUCCCUGAGCGGGCUGGCAAGGCGCAU
This 448-nucleotide ribosomal RNA is filed under the name uncultured bacterium. RNAcentral describes it as "bacterial SSU rRNA". It matches the Rfam family "Bacterial small subunit ribosomal RNA", at positions 355 to 825 of the family's 1533-position model. The record is from RNAcentral.